AGAGUUUGAUCCUGGCUCAGGACGAACGCUGGCGGCGUGCCUAACACAUGCAAGUCGAGCGGGCCUGUCAAGGCGUUAUGUUUUGGCAGGUUUAGCGGCGGACGGGUGAGUAACGCGUGAGCAACCUACCCUUGAGACAGGGAUAACCCUGGGAAACCGGGGCUAAUACCUGAUAUACUCUAUUAGGGCAUCCUGAUGGAGGAAAGGACGGGAAGCCGCUCAAGGAUGGGCUCGCGUCCCAUCAGCUAGUUGGUGAGGUAACGGCUCACCAAGGCGACGACGGGUGGCCGGCCUGAGAGGGUGGUCGGCCACACUGGGACUGAGACACGGCCCAGACUCCUACGGGAGGCAGCAGUGGGGAAUCUUCCGCAAUGGGCGAAAGCCUGACGGAGC
Molecule: ribosomal RNA, 393 nt
Filed under: uncultured bacterium
Lineage: Bacteria
Description: bacterial SSU rRNA
Rfam family: Bacterial small subunit ribosomal RNA
Source: RNAcentral